UAUUUGAUGAUAAAAUAUUUUACGCAGGCAAGUUUUAAGGACGGUGGCUGACGCUUUCUAGGGGGUGGUUCCUAUGAACCCUAAACCAAUGAAAGGAUUGUCAGCACAUGAGCGCUUACCAAGCACUUGUGUUAAUAUUGGCAUUUGCGACGUUUAUCGUUGCUUUGCUAACCUUUAU
RNAcentral lists this small RNA (178 nucleotides) under Limosilactobacillus frumenti DSM 13145. RNAcentral's name for it is "Lactobacillus frumenti DSM 13145 Listeria sRNA rli28". It matches the Rfam family "Listeria sRNA rli28". The record is from Rfam by way of RNAcentral. Lineage: Bacteria; Bacillati; Bacillota; Bacilli; Lactobacillales; Lactobacillaceae.